RNAcentral lists this ribosomal RNA (253 nucleotides) under uncultured bacterium. RNAcentral's name for it is "partial 16S ribosomal RNA". It matches the Rfam family "Bacterial small subunit ribosomal RNA", at positions 524 to 776 of the family's 1533-position model. The record is from RNAcentral.
UACGAAGGGGGCUAGCGUUGUUCGGAAUUACUGGGCGUAAAGGGCGCGUAGGCGGUUUGUCAAGUCAGGCGUGAAAUCCCCAGGCUCAACCUGGGAACUGCGUCCGAUACUGGAUGGCUUGAAUUCGGGAGAGGGAUGCAGAAUUCCAGGUGUAGCGGUGAAAUGCGUAGAUAUCGUCAAGAACACCUAUAGCGAAGGCAGCUUACUAGGCUGUAACUGACGCUGAGGCACGAAAGUGUGGGGAUCAAACAGG